Vibrio sp. JCM 19236 is the source of this 97-nucleotide non-coding RNA. NCBI's taxonomy places the organism in Bacteria, Pseudomonadati, Pseudomonadota, Gammaproteobacteria, Vibrionales, Vibrionaceae. The record is from Rfam.
GGUUGGUCCUCCCGCAACAAUAGUUCGUGAACUCGGUCAGGUCCGGAAGGAAGCAGCCGCAGCGGAUGACUUGUGUGCCGGGAUGUGGCUGGCCCCA